UGAAGCUGGAGUGGCCCAUGCUCACGUCCACCGAGCCCUGCGACGAGUUGCGGCCGAUGGUCACCGAGCGCUUCUUCAUGAGGAUAACUGCAGAACAAAGCAAACUUCAGAAGACAGUUACUGAGAUAUUGAGGAAUCCUCCAACACAAGAAUCAACCUCUGUUCUCUGUUUAUACCAAAAUCUACCAAGAACUAUUCUUGCACAACUGCAUUUGUAACACUGACAGAAGAUUGAGCUGCUUGAGACAAAGCAAGAUACUGAAGACAAAACAAGAUACUGAAGUACAUUCAGUCUCAGGUUUGCCCCAACAGAUUUUCUCAUUUUCCUAAUAAAUCUCAACAUAUCCAAAAUGGUUGUCAUAUUUAAUUGCUUUUUCUACAAAACUUCCUUAAGUUUACACCUAAUCUUUAAAACAUAAAGCAUUUAAAGUUCUGAUAAAAGAGAGAGAAGAAGUCACACUAUUUACUUCUUUCUAGGAGGGGAACAACUUGAACAACAAAUAGCUGUUUAAAAUUAUUUAGGUAAAAAAACCCAAACAUGAUGCUGUGCUGGACAGAUUCUGUUCGAGUCCUGUGUAAAUCACAAGGUGUUCAAGCAACCUCCAGAAGGGCGAGGGGAGAAUACAAACAUUUCUGACAGGAGAGACAGG
Molecule: long non-coding RNA, 650 nt
Organism: Oenanthe melanoleuca
Lineage: Eukaryota; Metazoa; Chordata; Aves; Passeriformes; Muscicapidae
Exons: 3
Source: RefSeq, a predicted model, not a curated record